This 3754-nucleotide long non-coding RNA is filed under the name Sarcophilus harrisii (Tasmanian devil). RNAcentral describes it as "lncRNA (ENSSHAG00000023212.1)". The record is from RNAcentral. Lineage: Eukaryota; Metazoa; Chordata; Mammalia; Dasyuromorphia; Dasyuridae.
GUCUGAGAGAACCAGGACCGUGAGAACCAGAUACGUGAGGGAGAAUCAGGAACAUAUGGAAGAAAGCCCUUGGACUUGUCCAAGCAGGCGACUCCUACUCACUUUUGGUGAUUCAUAUGGACACAAACAAUCCUACCAGAAGCAAUGCAGAAAGGAUUGCCAAAAAGUACAACUACGGAGACAACUACUACUCAGGCAAGAAAUGGGAGACCAUGUAGCGUGAGUUGCUUUUUGCCUCGAAGCUGCCCAUUGAAAGCAAAGGCAAGAGAAAUGAAAAUGAAUUCAGUUGGAAAGUGAAUAUCUGCCUAAGAACAUGGUGUCUAAUAAUGGGAUCCUAAUUUCUUGACUUAAAAUAUAGGAAUAACAGGUUUCUGGCCAGGGAUGGAGUAGAUUUAACCAAGAUUGAUAAGAAUGUAUUUGGUUAGGUGACUUGAAAAUCUAAUCAAAGUGGCUUUAAAAUAAGAAGGAUGAGUGAGAGGAAAAAGCAGCCCCCCAGAUUUAUCAAGCUAGAUACUACAAAUAGGCACUUCAACAAAGGAACAAAAAUAGCCAUUGAGAUACCCAGGAGUUGGAGAUAAAAUAAAAGAAACCAGUUGUAAGAUUUAUGACAUCGAAUGACUAGAAAGAAACCAGAAAUAAGAUUCAUGAUAUCAAAUGUCUAUGCACAAAAGCUUAGGCAAAAACCAAGAUGAAAUAGAGAGAGAGAGAGAGAGAGAGAGAGAGACAGAGAGAGGAGAGAGACAGAGACAGACAGAGAAAGAGAGAGACACAGAGAGAGAAACAGAGAGACAGAGAGAAAGAUACAGAGAGGCAGAGACAGACAGAGAGAGAGAGGAGAGAGAGAGAGAGAGACAGAGAGAGAGAGACAGAGACAGAGAGACAGAAACAGAGAGAGAGGAGAGAAAGAGACAGAGAGAGAGAGACAGAGAGAGAGAGAGAGAGAGAGAGAGAGAGAGAGAGAGAGAGAGAGCUCUUAAUGCAAAGAGGUCAAUUUGAUCUCAUAGAUAUCCCUGACUUGGUAUCUAUGAUUUAGAAUAUGGCUGUGGAUGGACAAACCUUAUUCAAAAAUCAUUAAAAGGGGAAACAGGAGAUAGCAUUAUAUUUUUUAAAAAGAGGUAUAUUUGUGUGAGAAAAACCAAAAACCAGAGAAGAGAAGCAUGAUGGAGAACAUUUGCGUGAAAACCAAUGGAGAAACAUAUUUUAUCACUGAUAAACAUUAUAGUCCACUUGUACAGAGAGAGGAUAUAGAUCAGGGUGGGGAUUUUUUUUUUUAUGCCAAAGGCCAUUUGGAAAUUUAUAACAUCAUUUCUGAGCUUUACAAAAUGAUCAACUUGAGGCAGCUAGGUGGCUCAGAGCACCAGCCCUGAAGUCAGGAGGACCUGAGUUCAAAUCUGGUCUCAGACACUUAAUACUUCCUAGCUGUGUGACCCUGGGCAAGUCCCUUAACCCCAAUUGCCUCAGCUAAAAAAAAAGUAUCAACUUAUAGAACUCAAGCAGUGGGAGGUUGUUGUGCCCAAAUUUCAGCUCAUCGCCUGCAGAUGUCUUAGCAAAUGAUUUCACAGGUUUUUAUAUGGCCCGUAGGCUGGCUAUUCCCUACCUCUGCUAUAGAUGAAGACUUUGGGAAACAGCUCACAAAUAUGACACAGAGGCAUGAUAGUACUAUUGGAAAAUAUAUGAUUCAGACAUCUGCUAAAAUUCUGUCUCUGUCUCUGUCAAAGUAGAACAGCUAAUAAGUUCUGACUUUUCUUAAUUCUAAUUACAUUAAUUACAAAGUUUUUACAAAUAACAAGGGGAAAUUUUAUUCUAGCUCUGAUUUUUCCUCUCAGGGAAGAACCGGUUAAUGGAAUGGAAAUGUUAAGAACCUUGGAGGGAAGAGACUAUUAUUCCAUGCUAGAGUUUAUGAGAGAAUAGAGGAUAAUUGGAUAUAGUAUGACAUGAAUCUUAGAUUUGGGGAAGGCAGAUUUUUAAAAUUCAGAAGAAGGCUAGGGAGGAGCCAACAAAUUAAAAUUCUACAUAGAAAGCGAGUUUGGGAAGGAUGGGAAACUCUUAAGAAUGAAAUGCUGAAGAAACAAAGGGGGAAGGAAUUGUAAUGAGGAAGUAAAAUAGUAAUUGAAGAAUCAGAUGUGGACACAAAGGGAAUCCACUAAUCAAUUUAAAUUUUACUUUACUUAAAUUUAAUCCUUUUCAAAUUAAAAAUUAAAUAUGCACAUCUACACAUACAUGCAUAUAUGUGUAUGUGUGUAUAUCUAUCUAGCUACUAAAGUUGGAAGCAAAAGCAGUUAACGGAGUGAGUAUGAGGACAUGGAUGGUACUAGGAAGUUUUUAUCGGCAGGGCUAAAGCUCUGAACGAGCUGAGGUUUCUGAAGAAAACUCAAGAUGACAGCACCAAAAUUUAAGAUAUAGCAGAGAAAAGAGGAGGAUCAAAAAAUGGAGAGCAAUGAUGCUGAGGGAGGAUGGGAUGACAACCGACAACAGAGGGGAGGAAGUUACUCAAUUCUUGGAGAGUGACCACUGGAACCCCACAAGAAUGGCUUCACAUAUUGAUACCCAAGAAAAGAAAGAGGAUAAUAAAAGAAGAGGAAGAAUUCAGUUCAUCUGAUCCAGAUGAGCUCUAUUCCCCAAACCUUACAGAUGUGAUUGUUGAGCCAUCGUCAGUGAUGUUUGUAAGGUCACGGAGCAUGAGAGAGGGACCACAGAACGGUGACACUAUUAGAGAAAGGCCAAGAUGUUGAUUUUCCCAAAAUGUGGGGAAAAUAGUUUUAAAAUUCUAAGCAUGGAUCCUAGAUCUGGGACUUGGAGCUCCUUAGAAACCAUUCAGUCCGACCCUAUUGUUUUAGAGAUGAGGAAACUGAGGCCAUAAAUAACAGAAGUUAGAUUUGAAUCUGUGACCCCUCAAUUCAGUUCUCUGCAUCUGUAAAACGACUCUGGUCUUGGUUCUUCCCAACACACCACAGUCUCCCAUUAGACUGGAAUUGACAACCAAGGGAACAUCAGAAAGCUCAUAGAGAAUUGAACGGAUUCUGAUUCUGGGUGGGAAGGAGGGACCAUCUGACCUUUGAGGGUCCUUCCAGGAGGACUGAAGGAAGAGGAUGUCAGUAGCACCGAUAAUUAACCCACCAAUCAACCAGUGCCAGUGAUAUGUCAAGCUCUAGGCAUACAAAUGCCCUCAGAGAGUUUACAUUCUAAUGGAAAGACGGAAACAAUGGCUGGAAAAUCCAGGGUUCAAAUCUUGCUUAUGGUACUUUAAGCAAAUCACUUCAUUCUCUGUGCCUCAGUUUCCUCAUCUGUAAAACGAGGGGGUUGCCUUGGAUGACUUCUGAGGAACCUUCCUGCUGUGUCCUGGGGUGGAAUAAGCUCAGCUCCCUGAGGUCAGACUUCUUUUGCCCACCUGGAUGGGUCCCAGACCUCUCCAGAUGUCUUUCCCAGGGAGGUGAGCCUUCUAGCGAACAGGAACUCCUCCUUCCUAAACCGGAUAUGGGCUAAAGGACAAGGGGCCCGGAGUUGUUUUUUUCCCUUUCCUGACAUCCCUCCUUCUCCUUGGGGAUGGUUUCCUCAGCAAUGCAGGCAGCAGCUGUGGCUCGCAGCCCUCCCCAGAGCUUAGGAAUGUUUCCGUCCUCUCCCUCAAUCUUAAUGAGCCAUCAAGAGUGAGCAGCUUCCAGAGGGUCUGGGAGGGAGGGAGAGAGUCUUUCCCAUCAACCUCCUGCCCGUUUCCUGCUCCUUAACCUGGUAUCCAGGAACUUGGUUUUGGUCUCCA